AUUGAACGCUGGCGGCAUGCCUUACACAUGCAAGUCGAACGGUAACAGGUUAAGCUGACGAGUGGCGAACGGGUGAGUAAUAUAUCGGAACGUGCCCAGUCGUGGGGGAUAACUGCUCGAAAGAGCAGCUAAUACCGCAUACGACCUGCGGGUGAAAGCGGGGGAUCGCAAGACCUCGCGCGAUUGGAGCGGCCGAUAUCAGAUUAGGUAGUUGGUUGGGUAAAGGCCCACCAAGCCAACGAUCUGUAGCUGGUCUGAGAGGACGACCAGCCACACUGGGACUGAGACACGGCCCAGACUCCUACGGGAGGCAGCAGUGGGGAAUUUUGGACAAUGGGCGCAAGCCUGAUCCAGCCAUGCCGCGUGCGGGAAGAAGGCCUUCGGGUUGUAAACCGCUUUUGUCAGGGAAGAAAAGGUUCUGGUUAAUACCUGGGACUCAUGACGGUACCUGAAGAAUAAGCACCGGCUAACUACGUGCCAGCCGCCGCGGUAA
RNAcentral lists this ribosomal RNA (493 nucleotides) under uncultured bacterium. RNAcentral describes it as "partial 16S ribosomal RNA". It matches the Rfam family "Bacterial small subunit ribosomal RNA", at positions 30 to 523 of the family's 1533-position model. The record is from RNAcentral.